GUCUGACGGAGCACGCCGCGUGAGUGAUGAAGGUUUUCGGAUCGUAAAACUCUGUUGUUAGGGAAGAACAAGUACCGUUCGAAUAGGGCGGCACCUUGACGGUACCUAACCAGAAAGCCACGGCUAACUACGUGCCAGCAGCCGCGGUAAUACGUAGGUGGCAAGCGUUGUCCGGAAUUAUUGGGCGUAAAGCGCGCGCAGGCGGUUUCUUAAGUCUGAUGUGAAAGCCCCCGGCUCAACCGGGGAGGGUCAUUGGAAACUGGGGAACUUGAGUGCAGAAGAGGAGAGUGGAAUUCCACGUGUAGCGGUGAAAUGCGUAGAGAUGUGGAGGAACACCAGUGGCGAAGGCGACUCUCUGGUCUGUAACUGACGCUGAGGCGCGAAAGCGUGGGGAGCGAACAGGAUUAGAUACCCUGGUAGUCCACGCCGUAAACGAUGAGUGCUAAGUGUUAGAGGGUUUCCGCCCUUUAGUGCUGCAGCAAACGCAUUAAGCACUCCGCCUGGGGAGUACGGUCGCAAGACUGAAACUCAAAGGAAUUGACGGGGGCCCGCACAAGCGGUGGAGCAUGUGGUUUAAUUCGAAGCAACGCGAAGAACNNNACCAGGUCUUGACAUCCUCUGACAACCCUAGAGAUAGGGCUUCCCCNNCGGGGGCAGAGUGACAGGUGG
Molecule: ribosomal RNA, 669 nt
Filed under: Firmicutes bacterium M1Vb1
Lineage: Bacteria; Bacillati; Bacillota
Description: bacterial SSU rRNA
Rfam family: Bacterial small subunit ribosomal RNA
Source: RNAcentral